Molecule: ribosomal RNA, 508 nt
Filed under: uncultured bacterium
Lineage: Bacteria
Description: partial 16S ribosomal RNA
Rfam family: Bacterial small subunit ribosomal RNA
Source: RNAcentral
AUUGAACGCUGGCGGCAUGCCUUACACAUGCAAGUCGAACGGCAGCGGGGGAGAAGCUUGCUUUUCCUGCCGGCGAGUGGCGAACGGGUGAGUAAUACAUCGGAACGUGCCCUGUAGUGGGGGAUAACUAGUCGCCCGACUAGCUAAUACCGCACACGACCCGCGGGCGACACCGGGCGACCGCACGGCCCCAGGCCCUAGGCUCGGCCGGUGUCUGAUUAGCUAGUUGGUGGGGUAAAGGCCGACCAAGGCGACGAUCAGUAGCUGGUCUGGGAGGACGAUCAGCCACACUGGGACUGAGACACGGCCCAGACUCCUACGGGAGGCAGCAGUGGGGAAUUUUGGACAAUGGGCGAAAGCCUGAUCCAGCAAUGCCGCGUGUGUGAAGAAGGCCUUCGGGUUGUAAAGCACUUUUGUCCGGAAAGAAAUGGCUCUGGUUAAUACCUGGGGUCGAUGACGGUACCGGAAGAAUAAGGACCGGCUAACUACGUGCCAGCCGCCGCAGUAA